UACGUAGGGCGCAAGCGUUAUCCGGAAUUAUUGGGCGUAAAGAGCUCGUAGGCGGUUUGUCGCGUCUGCCGUGAAAGCCCGGGGCUUAACCCCGGGUCGGCAGUGGAUACGGGCAGGCUAGAGGUAGGUAGGGGAGAAUGGAAUUCCCGGUGUAGCGGUGAAAUGCGCAGAUAUCGGGAGGAACACCGGUGGCGAAGGCGGUUCUCUGGGCCUUACCUGACGCUGAGGAGCGAAAGCGUGGGGAGCGAACAGG
RNAcentral lists this ribosomal RNA (253 nucleotides) under uncultured bacterium. Its description in RNAcentral is "partial 16S ribosomal RNA". It matches the Rfam family "Bacterial small subunit ribosomal RNA", at positions 524 to 776 of the family's 1533-position model. The record is from RNAcentral.